This 197-nucleotide ribosomal RNA is filed under the name uncultured bacterium. Its description in RNAcentral is "partial 16S ribosomal RNA". It matches the Rfam family "Bacterial small subunit ribosomal RNA", at positions 328 to 539 of the family's 1533-position model. The record is from RNAcentral.
ACGCUCGACACCUACGGGAGGUAGCAGUGGGGAAUAUUGCACAAUGGGGGAAACCCUGAUGCAGCGACGCCGCGUGAGCGAAGAAGUAUUUCGGUAUGUAAAGCUCUAUCAGCAGGGAAGAAAAUGACGGUACCUGACUAAGAAGCCCCGGCUAACUACGUGCAGCAGCCGCGGUAAUCUGAGCGGGCUGGCAAGGC